RNAcentral lists this long non-coding RNA (235 nucleotides) under Medicago truncatula (barrel medic). Its description in RNAcentral is "long non-coding RNA (MTRU_LNC008387)". The record is from RNAcentral. Lineage: Eukaryota; Viridiplantae; Streptophyta; Magnoliopsida; Fabales; Fabaceae.
GAUCAGCGUGAGUACUCGAGGACGGCUUGAGGCCUAAUCCUCCUUUUCAUGUUUUUGCUUUCGGAGUCUUAGUGGCAGUGUUAUGAUGAGGUGUUGGGGAUUUAUUUUAUUUUAUCUGUUAGAUUAAUGUUUAAGGAACCAUAAAUUUCUCAUGUUGAUGUAUUUGAGAUGAUAACCUUAUGUUGUUUUAUGUUUUGAUUCUGUUGCGACUGUUUUAUGAUUAUGUUAAUUUAUG